CAGACCUUCCUUCCGGACCCAGGAAGGUUCCCUCUGGGCACAAAGGGACAUGCCGUUCCGAAGAACUCUGUGAGCUGAUGGAUUCUGCCAGGAGCCCAGGCACUGAGGAGAGGUCCGCCCACAAACACCAGGCCAGCGGCUCUCCGCCCACUCCCCUGCUCUCGGCAGCGGGCUCUCUGGACUCCACCUGCACCUCCUGUUUGUAGCCCCUGCCCUUGGAGGCUCCCGGACUCCAGGCCUGGGAACUGGUGUUCCAAGGAGCCCAGUUUGGGAAGCCUGCGCUUAUCGGGCAAAGCCUGUGGCGGUGGUGCCUUCCGUGACGGACACUUUCCCGCAGGCCCAGCGGAGCCCCCGGGAUUCUCGAGGAAACCGUGACAUGAAACUCCACGGAGUGAAGUGAGCAGCAUCACCGCCCGGAGCCAUGGCCAGCGUGAGGUCCAGCCGCCCCAGCUGCAUCCGGGCCGCGUUCAGCGCCCCCAGCACCAGGGCCGGCCUGCGGAGGAGGCAGAGGAACGCGCUCCAUCGCCUCAAGGUCAACCACAGAAAGAGCCAUGCGGACUUCGUUGAAGGGAUCUGGAGAGAGUUUUUAGAUCCGUAUGCGGGUUUGGAGGACACCCCCGCCCACCUGGCCUGUGGCUUCAAGGACUGUUCUCCAGGUGACGUGACCUGCCGCGGGCCUGCGCACUCACCGACGCCCAGGAGCCCAGAAGUCCACUCGGGAGACCCUCUCUCGUCAGAAGGUCCCGCCGUGAAAGCCACCCCCACCGGCGGGGCUCCCGCGUCCCUGGGGGACAACGACGUGGACAUGCAGCCCGCAGAAAUGACGGAGGAAGACUGGGGGCCCCUCCUCCCUGCCGGGGAGCCCCCUGAGACUGGUCGGCGCAUGCAGGGCAGGGCCAGAGUGUCACGGCCGCCACCCAGACUCGGGAGUGAGAAGGACAAGGCGCCGAAGCUCUCACUGUCCAAGAGGAAGCUGGAGCUUUUGCUGUCGGAGCCCGAGAAGAGGAAGAGGAGGAAGCAGUACGUGGCCUAGACCAGGCAAGGACCAAACGCCCUCCGAGCCCUCUGUCCGCAGCCAACGCCCUCCAAGCCCUCUGCCGUGGCCGCUGUCCGCAGCCCCGGGACCACGCUGUUCCCAGUGCCAAUAAAAGGGGUCCCCCGAG
Molecule: long non-coding RNA, 1163 nt
Organism: Eptesicus fuscus (big brown bat)
Lineage: Eukaryota; Metazoa; Chordata; Mammalia; Chiroptera; Vespertilionidae
Exons: 8
Source: RefSeq, a predicted model, not a curated record